RNAcentral lists this ribosomal RNA (300 nucleotides) under uncultured Spirosoma sp. RNAcentral describes it as "bacterial SSU rRNA". It matches the Rfam family "Bacterial small subunit ribosomal RNA", at positions 495 to 794 of the family's 1533-position model. The record is from RNAcentral. Lineage: Bacteria; Pseudomonadati; Bacteroidota; Cytophagia; Cytophagales; Cytophagaceae.
GGUGAACGCGGUGCGAGGUGCCAUGGUAGUGCGUGAUGGGCAAGAGUUAUACGGAUUUAUUUGGGUUAAAGGGUCCGUAGGCGGACUUAUAAGUCAGUGGGUAAAGCCUGUCGCUUAAAGAUAGAACUGACAUUGAGACUGUAAGUCUUGAGUAUAUUUUAGGUAGCUGGAAUAAGUAGUGUAGCGGUGAAAUGCAUAGAUAUUACUUAGAACACCAAUAGCGAAGGCAGUUUACCAAGAUAUAACUGACGCUGAGGGACGAAAGCGUGGGGAGCGAACAGGAUUAGAUACCCGAGUAGU